This 2230-nucleotide unclassified non-coding RNA is filed under the name Orussus abietinus. Its description in RNAcentral is "uncharacterized LOC111674156, transcript variant X2". Lineage: Eukaryota; Metazoa; Arthropoda; Insecta; Hymenoptera; Orussidae. The record is from RNAcentral.
CCCCCUAAUUUUCUCAGCGUGGUCAAAAGCGAAAUGUCCUCGGCGUGGGAGCUGCAUCUUGCUUUUCCUCGUAACACUGGACUCGCGGAAGCGGUCCUUACGAUAUUCCCAUCGAUAGCGAACGCUUCGAGGGUUUCGCCAUUACGGAAAACUCGAUAGAUUGGACACUUCCUUUCGGGCCUGCGUCGACGUUAUCAAUCGCCUCGCACUUCCCGCUUUUCAGCCCGGCAGACCUGCGUAUCUGCUUGAAACCGUUUCACAUGAAAUUAAGUCUGAAAGGGUGUUUUUGCAAUCGCUGAUUAACGAACACUCUGGCUCGAUAUCUGAGGUAACGAGUAAACGAAGUUUCGAAAGUGUGGGUAAGUACUGGAUCAAUGGAGUAAUUAAGAAGUAAGGUCUCCAGAAGAAAGUGCCGGUCCCUUGGUCCCACGUCGCGCGUUCCAAGGAGACGCAUUCUACUCCUGAAAGGGAGAACGCUCGAAAGUUUGACAGAGAUAUCACGUGGAGCAGCCGUAACUCGAUUCAGAGCACUCGUCUUCUCCCUCCGAUCCGCAGCAAAUCACCCUGGAGCAGUCCGAAGUCGUUCCGAACUUGUCGCCUCGCAUUAAGCGCCAUGGAACCGCCCUGAACUUGUCACAGACUAUCCUUAACCUUUCCGGACACGAAACUCGCCUAGGAAACUCUUCUAUUGUGAGCCAGAGGCAGAAAAAUUGUCAAGUGAAUUAACGACCUAGAAGUGAACCGUCGAGGAAAUCAACGACCUAGACGUCGCAUGGAAACGUCCAUUCUGGAUUUUUGGAUGAACGAAUAGCCGAUGUGUUCCACUCAACCAACGUGUGCUUCGUCACGUCCUCUGGUGCAACAUCAUCGUCCUGGAAAUUAUCAACGACCACCUGUUGACUGUUCUGCCUAUCCACAAGCUUAUCAACGCUGCGGACAGUGCUAUCAACCCUGUCCACCUUGUGGCCAACCUUGUCCAACGUUCUGCCAUCCACGGGGGCGACCCUGGUUCCUCAUCGCCUUCGUGAUUCUGCUGAUACUGGCCCUUAUCAGCGUGGCUUAUCAACGAUUAUUCGCAUCUUCUUCACCGCGGAGGAUUGACCCGCCAUUGUCGGCCUCUCGUCGCCUUCAACAACAGAGCUCGAAGAAGAAGAAAAAUGCAGAGCAAAAUUGCCCGGCCGAGUUUCAACGCUGCAUCGAAAUAACGACCGAGCCCUGUCUUCAACGACAGGAAAAAGAACGUCCUGCCACGUCCAGCGGGAAGUCUCGGCCGACCUGGACAGGAUCUCAGGACGACGAGGAGGACCUGGACGUCAUUGAAAUUCCACGAAGCAGGACGAUCGACACCUCCACCUCCACCGCUGGAAAUAUCAACGGAACUCGUUCCAAGCUUCUCUGAGGCCUAAUAGCCGUGAGAUAAAAUAAUCUACAAAUUGAAAAUUAUGAACCAAUGAAAAAUACAAGCCUACUAUGAUCGCUGCCGAUUUAUCAACGAAAGAGAAAAACAAUCACUGCCGGUCAACGACGAGGCGCAGUUGUUUUUGGCAUGCAACCAUCAAAAUUACAGCUCCGAGUGACGAGAUUCAGAAAAUUCACAAGUAAUAAUACAUGGUGUGUAUCAUUGAUUGCUCGAGCGGGAUUUGUUGACUCGGUAGAGAUGUUAAAACUGGAUAAAAAGGUGAUAUUUUAGAUUUGGAAACCGAUGGCGUGUUCGAGGGUGCAACCUGUGGGGUUUUUCGAAUGGGGCGGCUGGUCCUUCCUCAGUUUCUUGAUCCUCCUUUCCGGGGUCGGAUACAUUGGCUACACGAUGAUGCAAGACUGGAAACUCAGAAAUUCUAAAUAAGUCAAGAAACCCGUUCCCUCGACCUAGUCCUUUACCUACUUUUCACUCAUGGCCGCCUUAUAUCACCUCUUUCUCACUGCCCAAAGAGAAUCGGGAAAUUGUGGAAGAGUAAAAUCACACGAGCGAUUGGACAGGUGAUGUCUUAACCUCAAAGUUAGUAAGGCGAAUUUCGUUGAAAGCAUGACUCGUCCUCGCAUAGCACGUCAUUCACAGAUUUUGCCGGCUCGAGGAGUUAGUCAGCACCUAGUAUAGAGCACAUAAAUAGAUUUUGAUAUUGUCUUGAGCUCUGGCACGAGAGACUCGCAGUGGAGCUAUUCGAGCAACUCGAGGCUUCGGUCAGAAGCAGAGUGCGCGUCUACGCAUUGGUACGAAUACCUUUCUGUCUGC